GAACAUCAGACAGAAAUAUGUUUUCGUUUGCAAUUUCAUGUAAGAUAGUAUUGCUGAUGUUACAUUCAAAGAGUAAGGAGUCACCAUAUUUUUUAAGGAUUUUCUGGUAGAAUAAUUUCCAUUUACUCGUAUUGGUAUUAUCUAGGUAUCUUUUAACCCAGCUGCAUUUGAUUGCAUUCAAGAAUGAGUCAAUGUUCGUUAAUUGGAUACCUCCAUUUUCUACAGAUUGAAUUAACUGAGUUCUUUUUAUUUUAUCAGGCUUACCGUCCCAUAUGAAAUUAAAUAUUGCUGAUUUUAUAUCGUUAAUAACAUCGUUUGGUGGAUUUGGGAGAACUGUUAAUACAUAUAUUAAUUUAGGAAGUGCAAACGUUUUCAAUACUGUGUUUUUUCCGAUUAGUGUAAGUUUACGAUGAUGCCAUGAUUUUAAGCAGUUUUUAAAAUUCUGUAAUUUAGGUAGUAUGUUUUUAAGAACUGUAUCCUUUUCAUUAUUUGUGAAAGUAAUGCCUAACGUUGUGGCUUCAUCGGAUGUCCAAUUAAAUUUCAUUUAUUUUUUAUAUUGAACAUUACUUUGUUUUAAUUUACCUACUCGUAGCACAGUACAUUUACUUUUGUUUAGUUUAAGACCCGAUGUCAUUCCGUAAAGGGUUAGCGACUCUAUUAGGUUAUGGAAAGAAUCGUAAUUGUCGUUUAAAAAAUAAGUUGCAUCGUCAGCAAAUAGGGAUUGUUUGAUUUCUUCGUCAGGUUCUAGUGAUAUGCCUUUUAUGUGUUUAUUUGAUUGGAUUUGAUGUGAUAGAUACUCGAUGCAAAUAAUAAAUAGCGAUGAUGAGAGUGGACAUCCUUGUCGAACCCCUCGUUCGAUGUUAAAACU
Dreissena polymorpha is the source of this 868-nucleotide long non-coding RNA. RefSeq lists it as uncharacterized. The transcript has 2 exons. Lineage: Eukaryota; Metazoa; Mollusca; Bivalvia; Myida; Dreissenidae. The record is from RefSeq and is a predicted model, not a curated record.